CCCUGCACGGCCCCGGGGCCACAGCGGGGCUGCCCCUCAUCCCAGCACCGCAUAACCCCGAGGUCCCGAAGCCCCCGCCGGGAAGGUACUCACAGCUUCCAUGUCUGACGGCACCACGAGGCACGCGGCGCUGGGGCAGCCCUGAGGCGACCGAACCGGCGGCCCGGCCCGGGCGGGCGGCUCUGCCCCCUCGCUAUUAAACACCCGCCGCCCCGGGCCGGGGACAGGUCCCAGGUGGGGCUGUCCCGAGUGCGGCUGUCCCAGGUGGGGCUGUCACCUGCCGGCUGUGACCCCGCUCCGCCCCGCCGCAGCUGGGCGCGCUUUGCAGCCCCCGGGUCCGGCCCGUCCCCCGGUGCUGCCCGCGGCUGAGGGGCAGGAGCCGGGCCCGGGCAGCCCCGCCAGGCCGGGCAGCCCCGCCAGGCCCGGCAGCCGCGCCGCGCACGGAGCAGCGCUCCGGCCUUGCAGGAGCCGCAGCUCGGACACCGUGAGGAGCACAGGCCUUGACUGCUCCGAGAAGCCCGGAGGUGGCCUUUGCUGUCAGCCAGCAUAGCAAAAGUUUCAUGGGAAGUCUGAAUUGGACUUCUAACACGGUGGAAAGGGGAAGUGAUCCCACAGCAAUGUGCAAAGGGAUCCUGAUGAAUAAAAAGAGACAAAGUGAAGGCAAGGCAAUGGAUCGACUUCCACAAGCUUCAUCAGCCAGCACUGAUUGGAGAGGACACUCAAAAGUUCCAGACCAAUUUUGAAAACUCUUUCUUUAAAGGUUUCCAGAAAAUCUGUAUUAAAUUGGCUUUUGUUUUCCUGUA
This is a non-coding RNA of Taeniopygia guttata (zebra finch), 803 nucleotides long. The record is from RefSeq and is a predicted model, not a curated record. NCBI's taxonomy places the organism in Eukaryota, Metazoa, Chordata, Aves, Passeriformes, Estrildidae.